AUAUCAGUCAUGCAUAGCAUAUCAAUAAGCGGAGGAAAAGAAACUAACAAGGAUUCCCUUAGUAACGGCGAGUGAAGCGGGAAGAGUUCAAAUUUGAAAUCUUCAAGGUUUUACCUUGACGAAUUGUAGUUUAAAGAAGUGUUUUCUGUUGAAGUUUUGGUAAAAGUUCUUUGGAAUAGGACAUCAUAGAGGGUGAGAAUCCCGUAUUUGACCAUUACUUUCAGCUUUGUGAUACACUUUCAAAGAGUCGGAUUGUUUGGGAAUGCAGUCCAAAAUGGGUGGUAAAUUUCAUCUAAAGCUAAAUAUUGGCGAGAGACCGAUAGCGAACAAGUACCGUGAGGGAAAGAUGAAAAGAACUUUGAAAAGAGAGUUAAACAGUACGUGAAAUUGUCAAAAGGGAAGCGUUUGACACCAGUGUUGUUUUCUCGAAAAUCAAUUAAAAAGAGUUGGAUUUUGUGUUGUAUUGACUUUAUCAGCUUUCUUCACUCUUUUCCAGCUUUUUUAAUGCACUUUUCGUUUAACAAGUCAACAUCAGUUUCUUUGUUGUAAAAAGGUCAUUGGAAGGUGGCUUUCUCUUCGGAGAAAGUGUUUAUAGCCUUUGACUCAUGCAAUCGGAGAGACUGAGGUCUGCAGCGUAGAUCCUUCGGGGUUAGAUACAUUUGUGCUAAGUUAUAGCUUUUCAUAGACAACUUGUUGACUAUGUUUAGUCUUGUAGCUUACUCGCUUAUGCUAUUUUACCUACGCUUAGGGUGUUGAACUCUAUCACACACAG
Molecule: ribosomal RNA, 772 nt
Filed under: uncultured Neocallimastigales
Lineage: Eukaryota; Fungi; Neocallimastigomycota; Neocallimastigomycetes; Neocallimastigales
Description: partial large subunit ribosomal RNA
Rfam family: Eukaryotic large subunit ribosomal RNA
Source: RNAcentral